UGACCCCAGCCAACUGCCACCAAGGCUACUCCAACCUCCAGUGUGCUAGGAUUCUAGAACAAGCCCAGCUCCAACUGUCACUCUGAGUGUGGCCUGGCCUGGCCUCCCUGAGCCUGUUUCCUCGUCUGGAAAGGGACGUGGACCCCAAGGUGCCACCUCUGAUCAACAGGGAAGGGGGUGACAGGACACUUUGCUGCCUCGCUUACAUGAAGCUUCCAACGUCUGCUCAGGAAGCAUCCACUAAGAAUCCUUCAGGUGGCCAGACACUUCUCCUCAGCCAGCUGGGACAUACGUCAUUGCCAGCUGGGCACUCAGCCUGCAAGAAGCUAAGUCUGGCAGGAUGGACCUGCACAGAAGCCAGAGACCUGCUCAUUGUGCCAGCUCGGCAGCCCCUCCUGGACCAGCCCAGCCAGCACCACCACGUCCCGUGACCAGGGCCCCCUGCCCACAGGCU
Long non-coding RNA from Equus caballus (horse), 454 nucleotides. RefSeq lists it as uncharacterized. The record is from RefSeq and is a predicted model, not a curated record. Lineage: Eukaryota; Metazoa; Chordata; Mammalia; Perissodactyla; Equidae.